UUUGCAGAACAAGAUGAAUUUUAAUACUUUGAGUUUGAAGAGUGACGUUUAAAGUUUCGUCGUUUCUGCACCGCGUCUGACCCUUAGCAAUCCAGCUCAAGGCAUGUAUGGAUAAAGGCAAGCACUCUAAGCCCACAAGUUUUGAGCCUGCCCACCCUCUGACAAGGAAGAUUGUUCACGUCCAACAAACUGUUCAUGGUGCAGAAAGUCACUUCCUAACACCAAGCUGUGAACCACCAUCAUCCUGUUCCAGAGAAUUCUACUGAUUUACUACUGAUUCUACUGGACUUAAAGGAAACAAGCCCAGAUAAUUCCAGGUCUGCCCUGGGGAGAGGCUGGCCGCAUCACUUCUGUUGAGUUUCCUCACAGAUAUAAUCCAAGUUCUAGAUAAAAGAUCAGCUGACAAGCUCAAGCAGACUGGAACCACGUAGCAAAACAAAGUGCAGAACACAUCCUCUUUUCUUUAUAAGGUAAUUGACAGAUCAGUACAUGUUGUGACUAAUCUACCUUGGACUUGAGUAAGUAUUGGGUUUCUAUUCCUUCAUUAAUAUCUCUAUGGUCUUUGAGAUGAUUGCACACAAAGUGUCUUUAAUAGGAAACGGGGGCCAGUGAUGUACGAUUUAUGUCAUGCUAACCUUCUAAUAUGAAAGAUUGAAUAUUUAGGAGAGGAAAAGUCACAUCACAGGACCCAGAGGUGGAUUUUAAUGGUUCAAGACAGGCCUACAAGGCAUGCUGCUGAACUUUGAG
RNAcentral lists this long non-coding RNA (747 nucleotides) under Aotus nancymaae (Ma's night monkey). RNAcentral describes it as "lncRNA (ENSANAG00000039348.1)". The record is from RNAcentral. Lineage: Eukaryota; Metazoa; Chordata; Mammalia; Primates; Aotidae.